GGUCCAAUCGUAUAGUGGCUUAUUAUGCUGUCUUAGGGUUCGGACGUUUCUAAAAACGCAGAAACUGUAUGACAGAGGUCCUGGGUUCGAUUCCCAGUUGGACCC
RNAcentral lists this transfer RNA (105 nucleotides) under Pseudozyma flocculosa. RNAcentral's name for it is "Anthracocystis flocculosa transfer RNA-Pro(AGG)". It matches the Rfam family "tRNA". From Rfam's summary of the family: Transfer RNA (tRNA) molecules are approximately 80 nucleotides in length. Their secondary structure includes four short double-helical elements and three loops (D, anti-codon, and T loops). The record is from RNAcentral. Lineage: Eukaryota; Fungi; Basidiomycota; Ustilaginomycetes; Ustilaginales; Ustilaginaceae.